GACGAACGCUGGCGGCGUGCUUAACACAUGCAAGUCGAACGAAGAGCGAUGGAAGCUUGCUUCUCUCAAUCUUAGUGGCGGACGGGUGAGUAACGCGUAAUCAACCUGCCCUUCAGAGGGGGACAACAGUUGGAAACGACUGCUAAUACCGCAUACGAUCUAAUCUCGGCAUCGAGGAUAGAUGAAAGGUGGCCUCUACAUGUAAGCUAUCACUGAAGGAGGGGAUUGCGUCUGAUUAGCUAGUUGGAGGGGUAACGGCCCACCAAGGCGAUGAUCAGUAGCCGGUCUGAGAGGAUGAACGGCCACAUUGGGACUGAGACACGGCCCAGACUCCUACGGGAGGCAGCAGUGGGGAAUCUUCCGCAAUGGACGAAAGUCUGACGGAGCAACGCCGCGUGAGCGAUGACGGCCUUCGGGUUGUAAAGCUCUGUUAAUCGGGACGAAAGGCCUUCUUGCGAAUAGUGAGAAGGAUUGACGGUACCGGAAUAGAAAGCCACGGCUAACUACGU
This 509-nucleotide ribosomal RNA is filed under the name uncultured bacterium. Its description in RNAcentral is "partial 16S ribosomal RNA". It matches the Rfam family "Bacterial small subunit ribosomal RNA", at positions 28 to 506 of the family's 1533-position model. The record is from RNAcentral.